AGUGAACGCUGGCGGCGUGCUUAACACAUGCAAGUCGAACGAGAACGGAUUAUAGCUUGCUAUAAUUGUCAGCUAAGUGGCGCACGGGUGAGUAAUAUAUAGAUAACCUGCCCUCUAGAAAGGAAUAACAGUUGGAAACGACUGCUAAUGCCCUAUAUGCCUUUAAUACAUAAGUAUGCAAGGGAAACGCUUUAGUGCUAGAGGAUGGGUCUGUAUGGUAUCAGCUUGUUGGUGAGGUAAUGGCUCACCAAGGCUAUGACGCCUAACUGGUUUGAGAGGAUGAUCAGUCACACUGGAACUGAGACACGGUCCAGACUCCUACGGGAGGCAGCAGUGGGGAAUAUUGCACAAUGGACGAAAGUCUGAUGCAGCAACGCCGCGUGGAGGAUGACACAUUUCGGUGCGUAAACUCCUUUUAUAUAGGAAGAUAAUGACGGUACUAUAUGAAUAAGCACCGGCUAACUCCGU
Molecule: ribosomal RNA, 468 nt
Filed under: uncultured bacterium
Lineage: Bacteria
Description: bacterial SSU rRNA
Rfam family: Bacterial small subunit ribosomal RNA
Source: RNAcentral